Molecule: unclassified non-coding RNA, 263 nt
Filed under: plant metagenome
Description: partial contains small subunit ribosomal RNA, internal transcribed spacer 1, and 5.8S ribosomal RNA
Source: RNAcentral
UUUCCGUAGGUGAACCUGCGGAAGGAUCAUUAUUGUAUAACCGAGGUGCGAGGGCUGUCGCUGACCCGAAAGGUCGUGCACGCUCGAGUGCCCUCACACACAUCCAUCUCACCCCUAUGUGCACCACCGCGUGGGUCCCCCUUUGGCUUGUUCGGAGGGGGGCUUACGUUUUCACACAAACUUUGUAUGCAGUGUAGAAUGUAUUUUCUGUUUUUGCGAUCACGCAAUCAAUACAACUUUCAACAACGGAUCUCUUGGCUCUC